This 445-nucleotide ribosomal RNA is filed under the name uncultured bacterium. RNAcentral's name for it is "partial 16S ribosomal RNA". It matches the Rfam family "Bacterial small subunit ribosomal RNA", at positions 354 to 796 of the family's 1533-position model. The record is from RNAcentral.
GUAGGGAAUAUUGGGCAAUGGAGGCAACUCUGACCCAGCCAUGCCGCGUGCAGGAUGACGGCCCUCUGGGUUGUAAACUGCUUUUAUACGGGAAGAGAAAAUACUACGUGUAGUAUACUGACGGUACCGUAAGAAUAAGGAUCGGCUAACUCCGUGCCAGCAGCCGCGGUAAUACGGAGGAUCCAAGCGUUGUCCGGAUUUAUUGGGUUUAAAGGGUGCGUAGGCGGAUCUUUAAGUCAGUGGUGAAAGCCUGCAGCUUAACUGUAGAAUUGCCAUUGAAACUGAAGAUCUUGAAUGUGGUUAAAGUAGGCGGAAUGUAUCAUGUAGCGGUGAAAUGCUUAGAUAUGAUACAGAACACCGAUAGCGAAGGCAGCUUGCUGAACCAUUAUUGACGCUGAGGCACGAAAGCGUGGGGAGCGAACAGGAUUAGAAACCCGGGUAGUCC